RNAcentral lists this long non-coding RNA (1290 nucleotides) under Felis catus (domestic cat). RNAcentral's name for it is "lncRNA (ENSFCAG00000052178.1)". Lineage: Eukaryota; Metazoa; Chordata; Mammalia; Carnivora; Felidae. The record is from RNAcentral.
AUGCCUGCCCGCCCCCGCAACCCCUGCCAUAGCGGUGACGUGAGCCGUGCAGGCCUCACGCCCGCGGCCAUCUGUGCCCAGACCUGUGCCAGGGGCCGGGGGCCGCGAGUGCCGGGACUCUCGGCCCUGGAGCAGGUGGCCCCUCUGUGGGGGGUGGUAGGGACAGGCAGGUGGAGCCGGCCUGGCUUCUCUUUGGAGUGUCCUGUGCCCGGCAGGCGUCUGUCAGGGCCGGGGUCGGGCCUUCCUGCUCCAUUGCCGGCCCUGGAGCCCUUACCGGCAGGAAGCCUGGCCCAAGCUCUUGCCCAGCCGAGGCCACUCCUGCCACAGAAGCUGAUUUUGCAAACUUCAGGAACAGGGCACCUCGUGAGGGCUGGGGCCCGAGGCCAGGGCUCGGGUCCCCUCCUCAUGAGGCCCCUGUCAGGGGACGUCGGAGUCCGGCGCAAGGCCCAGGCAGGGUGGGAGAGAGGGGAAGGCAGGAGAGGGCCCAGGAGAUGGGCCCAGACAGGUGGGGCCGUGUCUGGGUCCUCCGUGCAACGAAGGUGGGCCCCGAGCACUGCCGUGGCGUCUGCACGCUCGCGCGCGUGGGAGAGCCAGGUCGGCUUGCGCACGAGCCGGCAAGGGACAGGUGCCACCACUGCCCUUCCAAGUCUCCCCCCCCCCCCCAUGAACUUCCCUUCCCUGUCUCAGCCCCACCCAGGUGGCUGGGUAUCCUUGUCCUCCUUUCCUUUUCCGGGGCUCCCUCCAGCACUGCGGCUGCAGGCAUGGGGCAGGGUGGUGAGUUCCCAUGGGGUCCAACCCCCCCCCCUCGCCCUUGGUGGAGCUUUGACCUGGUGGACGUGUGGCCCACACCCCCAACUUCCUGUUUCUAAGAAAAAGCAGUCCCAGAAAAGUCUUUGGUGGCGGAGGGGGGGGGGGGAGUUGGGGGGGGAAAUCUUUGGAGGCUUCUGGCCAAGGUCUGGGGAGGCGCUGGGAGGGGUUUUAUUUUGUUUUGUUCAGAGGCGGGGAGGGGGGACGGGGGGGGGGGGGGGGGGGGGGGGAGGGGGGGGAGGGGGGGACUCGAGGAGAGCUGCGGCGGGUGUGGCCUGGCUGGGCAAUCACUGGUCCAUCACUGUCCGGCCAUCUGCCUUCCCUGGACACCUGCUUCCCCAGGCAGGAAGGCAGCGGUCAACUGGGCCAGGGGCCCAGGUCAAGGCUCCUCCGCCCCGGCGUGGCCGCCUUGGGUCUAGUCUCCCCAGCACCCAUGUCAGGAUAUGGGCCACCCCCCACCCACCAUCCUGCAGCUGGCAGUGA